RNAcentral lists this ribosomal RNA (305 nucleotides) under uncultured bacterium. RNAcentral describes it as "bacterial SSU rRNA". It matches the Rfam family "Bacterial small subunit ribosomal RNA", at positions 333 to 631 of the family's 1533-position model. The record is from RNAcentral.
ACGCUCCUACGGGGGGCAGCAGUGGGGAAUAUUGCGCAAUGGACGAAAGUCUGACGCAGCGACGCCGCGUGAGGGAUGAAGGUUUUCGGAUCGUAAACCUCUGUCAGGAGGGAAGAAAGCGCAUGGCGCCAAUCAGCCAUGCGUUGACGGUACCUCCAAAGGAAGCGCCGGCUAACUCCGUGCCAGCAGCCGCGGUAAUACGGAGGAUGCGAGCGUUAUCCGGAUUUAUUGGGUUUAAAGGGUGCGUAGGCGGAAUGCCAAGUCAGCGGUAAAAUCGCGGGGCUCAACCUCGCUCCGCCGUUGAA